Molecule: ribosomal RNA, 492 nt
Filed under: uncultured bacterium
Lineage: Bacteria
Description: partial 16S ribosomal RNA
Rfam family: Bacterial small subunit ribosomal RNA
Source: RNAcentral
AGUGAACGCUGGCGGUAGGCCUAACACAUGCAAGUCGAACGGCAGCACAGUAAGAGCUUGCUCUUACGGGUGGCGAGUGGCGGACGGGUGAGGAAUACAUCGGAAUCUACUUUUUCGUGGGGGAUAACGUAGGGAAACUUACGCUAAUACCGCAUACGACCUACGGGUGAAAGCAGGGGAUCUUCGGACCUUGCGCGAUUGAAUUAGCCGAUGUCGGAUUAGCUAGUUGGCGGGGUAAAGGCCCACCAAGGCGACGAUCCGUAGCUGGUCUGAGAGGAUGAUCAGCCACACUGGAACUGAGACACGGUCCAGACUCCUACGGGAGGCAGCAGUGGGGAAUAUUGGACAAUGGGCGCGAGCCUGAUCCAGCCAUACCGCGUGGGUGAAGAAGGCCUUCGGGUUGUAAAGCCCUUUUGUUGGGAAAGAAAAGCAGCAGGUUAAUACCCCGCUGUUCUGACGGUACCCAAAGAAUAAGCACCGGCUAACUUCGUG